UACGUAGGGUGCGAGCGUUAAUCGGAAUUACUGGGCGUAAAGCGUGCGCAGGCGGUUCGUUAUGUCCGAUGUGAAAGCCCCGAGCUCAACUUGGGAAUGGCAUUGGAAACUGGCGGGCUGGAGUGUGGCAGAGGGGGGUGGAAUUCCACGUGUAGCAGUGAAAUGCGUAGAGAUGUGGAGGAACACCGAUGGCGAAGGCAGCCCCCUGGGCCAACACUGACGCUCAGGCACGAAGGCCAGGGGAGCAAACAGG
This 253-nucleotide ribosomal RNA is filed under the name uncultured bacterium. RNAcentral's name for it is "partial 16S ribosomal RNA". It matches the Rfam family "Bacterial small subunit ribosomal RNA", at positions 524 to 776 of the family's 1533-position model. The record is from RNAcentral.